This is a long non-coding RNA of Sarcophilus harrisii (Tasmanian devil), 652 nucleotides long. RefSeq lists it as uncharacterized. Lineage: Eukaryota; Metazoa; Chordata; Mammalia; Dasyuromorphia; Dasyuridae. The record is from RefSeq and is a predicted model, not a curated record. The transcript has 6 exons.
CUAGUACUCUUAUCUGCUGUUCCAGUUAGCUUACUCUGGAGAACAGCCAGAACAGCCAAGAGACUAUUACAAUAUUACAGGAAGAAAGUGAUGAAGAAUUAAAACUAGUUUAGUAGAUAGGUUAGGAUCUUGUAUAUCAACAUCACAGUGAGCAACACAGAUGAAUGAUGGAAUGGGAAGACUGAAAGACACAAGUAGAGAAGUUAAAAUGUGCAAGAACGACCCCUUUUCCUUCAAGACUAGAGCAAAGGAAGAAAGGAUAAGGAACAAUAUUAAGAUUUGGAGCACAGAACUAGAAAAAAGGAAAGAAUAAAGGAAAGCUAAAAUGAUCUCAGGGAACUGAAAGAUUAGAUUCUAUCACUGUUAUAGAAAGUGGAGAACACAAGCAGGACUGAGACCUGCUGGCAUCAAGGAACAUAGGAAGAAAGCUGAAAGGACCAAAAGGCUAAGGGAGAUGUGCAUUGGAAGUCCAUCUGGUUCAGCUUUCUCAUUUUACUGAAGAGGAAACUAAAGCAUGAGGAGUGCCUUCCCAAAGUUACAGAAGUAGCAAGAAGCAAAGCAGACCCUGGUAUGUAGCGAUUUCACACUCUAGCCGGGCUCUAACAUCUAGAAGCACCUGGUACUCUUGGUUCUGCCUCUCCAGAUCACCCCG